UGAGCCACAUGAGGGACAAAUGGGAA
Molecule: non-coding RNA, 26 nt
Filed under: Rattus norvegicus (Norway rat)
Lineage: Eukaryota; Metazoa; Chordata; Mammalia; Rodentia; Muridae
Source: RNAcentral